GCAGAAUUAGGCAGCACACAAGCUGCAAAUUUUGAUCAACAUUGUUAGGCAAAAUUAGGCAAUGUUAGGCAAGUCAAAGUUAGGCAUUGAAGAACAAUUUAUUGUUUGAUCCCUAAACUUUAGACUAACUACAAAAUGACCCCUAAUACUCAACUAUAAAUAGGGAGGUCAUUUGCCAUUCUUGUCAUCCCAAAUCAUUCUAUUCUUCCCUCAUAUACUAGAGGUAUUUGAGAGUUUGUUGAGGGUAUUUCUCCUUCCUAGCAAGAGAGAAUUAUCCUUGUUUUCUCCUUGUUAGUUAGAGAGUGGUUGUAACUCAUAUUUCUCAUAGUGAAAUUCUUCUACCCUUGCCCGUGGUUUUUACCCUAAUUUGUUUAGGGGUUUUCCACGUAAAAUCUGUGCCUCAUUUAUUUUUACUUUCUCAAAUUAUUGUUGCAAUCUGAUCUAUCCCACUUCCACGGGCGCAACAUAUAUAGCUUCAAGAAAGAAGCAAAGGGAAUGCGUGUCUGAGCUCUGAUGUGUGCCAGUCUGAUAUGAGAAGCAUAGGGAAUCCGAAUGAAAGCUUCCCUCAUCUCAUCUCCCCUCAUUUAUAAGAACAUUAAUGUGACCUCAACUUCCCUCAUCUCAUCUCUCUCAUCUCAUGCCUUGAAAGUAUAGGUUUACCAACAUAGCUCAAGCUAUAUUUCUCACUCAUUCUAAAUUUAUGCUAGACAAUCCAUGUUUCUCUUUACACCAUAUACAUAUAUAUAUAUAUAUAUAUAUAUAUAUAUAUAUAUAUAUAUAUAUAUAUAUCAAAAGUUCUUAAUAAAACUUUUUAAUUAUAUAUUUGUAUACAUUAAGAAAAAGAAAAAAAUUAUAUUUAAAAAAAAGUAUAAAGAGAAAAAAUAGGGAUAUCAUGGGUGCAUAUUACUCCACGAUAUAAAUAUUGCAUAGUUUUAGUCCUCUUUUCAAUACCUAGAGAUGGGCUUAAUUGAAAUUAUUUGCACCAAAAUCCAAAAUUUGAAUUGAAUUUUGAAUUUGAGGUAAAUCAGAGUGAUAUUUUUAUUUAUGAUUUAUCUAAAUAUAAAUUUGAUUUGAAUAUUAAGUGUUAAAAUAUCAUACAUUCCCAACCUAAAAUCUGAACUAACCUAUAUAUAUAUAUAUAUAUAUAUAUAUAUAUAUAUAUAUAUAUAUAGACUAUUAAAUAUAUUUUAUAAUUAAUAUUCUAUUAAUUUUUAAAACUCUCUGAGUUAAUUAUUAGUAUUUUGUUUAUUUUUAGUUUGAUAGCAUACCAGGAAAAAAAAUAAAAACACCAAUAAUAAAAUUAUUUAAAAAAUAAAAAAAAAACUAAUAAAAAUACAAUUUUGGGUAUACCUAACUAAGUCAAAAUAAUUUCACCCCGAAUCAAAUAUAUUCAAAUUAAAUUUGAUUAUGGAAUCAGGUGUAAAAAACAAACACUCAAAAUUUUCAAAUAUCAAAAAUAAAAUUCAAAUAUUACCCAAAUCCAACCCAUGUCAACCCAUGCACUUAUUCCGUAAUUACCCCUCCAUAGUUUGAAAGGGUGAGAGAGGUGUUUUUCAUUAAGUUCCAAGGCAAGUACUGCUUUUAAGAAUUCGUGGCAACAUAAUGUGCAUCACUCCAAAAUUAAAUUAUUGAUUUAGUUUUAGUCCUUUGUUCACUUAGCCCUUCAUUUUUAAAUUUAUUGUUGUAGUACCAAUAUAAGGAAUUUUUUUUUUGGGCACAACUUUUUGAUCCAUACGAAAGGGUUUUGCGGUUUUGUAAAGGUGAAAACAAAGAGUUACUCCGUAUUUUUCUUCCAAAAUUAUUACUUAAAGUAGUAAUAGUUGAUGUGAAGUUAAAUAUUAGAUAAUAUCUACUCAAAAAAAAUUAGAUAAUAUAGUUGUACAAAUAAAGGGGAAACAACAUUAAUUUUUUUAGUUAGAUCACGAGGUGUUCUGAAUAGGCCUUAAUUAUAGGAGGAAUCUGAAUAGGCCUUAAUUAUAGGAGGAAUCUUUAAACCUUUAUAGUACUGGGCUGACCAAUUAAGAGACAAAGUGUUGGUCAUAUGUUAAAUAUUUAUCAAUACCACAUAAGUUAGAAUAAAUGAAGUUCGCUUUUAAAUUUCAUAUUUUUUUUUGUUGCACUAUAUGUCAUAUGUUACAACUACUGCAUUCCGGAACAGCUGGCCUGGUGACUUAAGGCUGCUCUAUACCUAAACCAAGGAUUGCACUCUUGCUCUUUGGUUAAGGAUGUAUGAGUCUCUUCACUCAACCACAUCCCCAUGUUAUCAUUUACUAUCUAUACAUUUAUUGCUAUCCAUCACAUUGUCUUUGUUAGGUUACCAUCAACAUGUCAUCUUUAGAAAGGUGCACACUAAGAUAUUAUUAAGGUUGGUAAAUUAAUUGAAUAGCAUAUUGAGUUUUAGGUAAUUUAAUUUGUAUAAAGACUUGCAUAGUAUUUUUAAUUUUGAAUAUUUUGACAUCUACUGAAAUUAAAUUAGAAAUUUCCUUGUGGGAAUAAGUAAAUAAAAGUUGGUAAACAUAACUAUGUAAAAAGGGAGUAUGGGAAUUUAAUGGUGGAGAGGUGACAUGACUUACAAAGUAGUUCCUCAUGGGUAGAAAAACAAAAGAUGGAAAGAGAUGCAAGAGUUUGAAUGUAGUACUAAACAUAUGGUCAUAUAAAAAUUAAGAUGGUCAAAUUAACAAAUCAUAUAUAUAUAAUAAAUGUGUUUUAUGGUAAAUAAAUUUGAAAGGUGAUGUUUAUUUGAAUUGAAACACACCUAAUUAUGUAAGAAAAAUUUCAUUUUACCAUUCAACAUUAGAAUUAAUGUAUUAUAAUUUAGGGGGUGUAUUCAAUCAUGACUUUUAUAGAUUUUUAAAGAUUUUUAUCAACUUUAAAAGUUUGGCGGUAUUCAAUUUAGACUUUUAAUAACUCUUUAAAAGUUUACCAGUAUUGGAUUCAGACUUUUCAAAACUCUUUAAAAGUAUACUGGUAUGCGAUCCAGACUUUUAUAGAGUAUUUAAAAGUAUACUGGUAUUCAAAAAGUUAAUAACUUUCAUUGACUUUGUAUCAUCUCACAAAAAACUCUACAAAAGUUAAUUAAAAUUCAUCAUUUUAAAAGUAUUUAAAAGUUGUUUUUGUAAGAUGAUACAGAUGUUUGGCUCGACAUUUUUUUUUUCAAUUUACUACCUUAAGACGUGCCCUCAUCUUCCUAUAUCAUGUUUGUGUGGAUCUUUUUAGUUGGAUUGUUGAUAUGUUUCUUCUCCUUUAAUUCGUGACAGACUAUAAUGGGGUUAGCAUCAAUUAAUGCAAUUACCAACUUCACUUUAAGGAUUAUGUAAAAGAAUGUAAUUAGUUUUGUAUGCAUUCGGAUAUCAGUCAUAUUCAUCCAUUUAGAGUUAAUUAUUAGUUUUACACUAUAUGAGCUAUUUGGUUUAUUUAUUAAAAUUAUGGGUUACAUAUUGGACCUUGUUCUUUAAAUUAAAGCAAAAAAUAGACGUUUUGAGCUUGUAUCGGAUAUUAUGGAAACAUUUUUAGUAUAUAUAGAGAAAAUUUACCAUGCUCAUAGACAUA
Ipomoea triloba (trilobed morning glory) is the source of this 3549-nucleotide long non-coding RNA. RefSeq lists it as uncharacterized. The transcript is spliced from 2 exons. Lineage: Eukaryota; Viridiplantae; Streptophyta; Magnoliopsida; Solanales; Convolvulaceae. The record is from RefSeq and is a predicted model, not a curated record.